Molecule: ribosomal RNA, 405 nt
Filed under: Bacillota bacterium
Lineage: Bacteria; Bacillati; Bacillota
Description: Firmicutes bacterium partial 16S ribosomal RNA
Rfam family: Bacterial small subunit ribosomal RNA
Source: RNAcentral
UGGGGAAUAUUGUGCAAUGGGGGAAACCCUGACACAGCGACGCCGCGUGAGCGAAGAAGGCCUUCGGGUCGUAAAGCCCAAUAGUAUGGGAAGAAAUAAAUGACGGUACCAUACGAAAGCCCCGGCUAACUACGUGCCAGCAGCCGCGGUAAUACGUAGGGGGCGAGCGUUGUCCGGAAUUACUGGGCGUAAAGAGCACGUAGGCGGCUAUAAAAGUCAGAUGUGAAAAACCUGGGCUCAACCGAGGGUGUGCAUCUGAAACUAAAUAGCUUGAGUCAAGGAGAGGAGAGCGGAAUUCCUGGUGUAGCGGUGAAAUGCGUAGAGAUCAGGAAGAAUACCAGUGGCGAAAGCGGCUCUCUGGACUUGAACUGACGCUGAGGUGCGAAAGCGUGGGGAGCAAACAGG